GGGAACAGUUUCCAAGCCAUUAAAAUGUUAUUCUUCCAAGUCUUCCCCUGUUGGUAACAGGGGAAGGGAGACAAAAUGCAGCGUCAUUUAGGCUUUGCCUAAAAUGAAUGGACACUCUUCAGCAACACACGAUGUGAAACUGAUCACGAGUUUCCUGAAAUCAGAGUCCUGACUUGCCUGACGAUGUGUGUGACGGAUACAAGUAGAGGAAUAUCUCAUCAGUACGAUGUUCAUGGAUUUGAAACUGGAGGGAUUUGGUUAUGCGAAUUCUACUUUCAAAAAGAAUAUUCUUCCUGUUGAUCCGAAGUUACAAAUGCAGAAUAUUGACAUUGCAAAGUGUAUAAAAGGAUGACUAGAAUUGAAGGAAUCUGGGUGAAUCUUUUGCCAAAUUAUUAAUAAAUUUGCAUUAAAUCACCCAAUUUCAACACUUUUCUCUGAAGAAAUAAUGGAUUCAGUGUGUGAUAUUAGGCAAGAAUAGACUAUGAAAAGCCCUGGGGACCUCCUGCUUAUAUUCUGGAACCCAUGGUGGGAAAAGUUUUAUCAUUUUGAAAGUCAAGGAAACGCCUACUUCAUUUUUUGAAAUAAGACAUUUUCUUAACUAGAAAUGAGGUGAAGGCCAAGGGAAGCUGCUGCUGCGUCAUCUCUCCAUCACGAGUGUGUCAUUCCCUCACGAGAGCAGGUCACAUCCCUAAACUCCUUACCUGAAUCAAGCCCUAAAAAACAAUGUCAACGUUUCUAUGCUCUUGUUUAAUUUUCUUAGGAGGUUAAGUUCUCAGCCGUUUCAGACAAUUGCUUUGGCUUUUGACCUUCACUGUACCUGCAACAGGUGUCCUUAUCAAAAUAAUUCCGCAAAUCUCCUGCUGGUUUAACCCAUCUCAUAAUUCCUAUGAACAUGUCACUCUAUCAUGUUUCUAGAGUUGUGGCUUCUUUUCAUUUUGCUUUCCUUUUGUGUACAAUAGUGGGUCCCCAACAGCAAAGGCAAGUUAGUGAAAACUUGAUAGGGAGAGAAUUUGCAACUGACAUUCUUAAAAAUGAGAGGAAAAAGUUAGAGAGUCCAUAAAUAUUAUUUUCACUAAAAAGACAGAAUACUGAAAAAGAUGACAAGUGCUAUUUCCCAUGUCACAUGAAUACCAAACAGUUCCAUAAAAUUACUCUCUCACCAUUCCUUACUUUCCAGCAAUGCAAACCCCAUGCCAAGAAUUUCAAGGUGAAGUUCAACUCUAUUUUAGCUCUGAUGUAGG
RNAcentral lists this long non-coding RNA (1241 nucleotides) under Equus caballus (horse). RNAcentral's name for it is "lncRNA (ENSECAG00000048547.1)". Lineage: Eukaryota; Metazoa; Chordata; Mammalia; Perissodactyla; Equidae. The record is from RNAcentral.